GAUGAACGCUAGCGGCAGGCUUAAUACAUGCAAGUCGAGGGGCAGCGGGGGUAGCAAUACCUGCCGGCGACCGGCAAACGGGUGCGGAACACGUACACAACCUUCCUAUAAGUGGGGGGAGUAGCCCAGAGAAAUUUGGAUUAAUACCCCGUAAUAUUAUUUAGUGGCAUCAUUAGAUAAUUAAAGCUCCGGCGCUUAUUGAUGGGUGUGCGUCUGAUUAGGUAGUUGGCGGGGUAACGGCCCACCAGGCCUUCGAUCAGUAACUGGUGUGAGAGCACGACCAGUCACACGGGCACUGAGACACGGGCCCGACUCCUACGGGAGGCAGCAGUAAGGAAUAUUGGUCAAUGGCGCAAGUCUGAACCAGCCAUGCCGCGUGGAGGAUGAAGGUCC
Molecule: ribosomal RNA, 393 nt
Filed under: uncultured bacterium
Lineage: Bacteria
Description: bacterial SSU rRNA
Rfam family: Bacterial small subunit ribosomal RNA
Source: RNAcentral